This 637-nucleotide ribosomal RNA is filed under the name Lygaeus equestris. Its description in RNAcentral is "SSU rRNA". It matches the Rfam family "Eukaryotic small subunit ribosomal RNA", at positions 472 to 1017 of the family's 1831-position model. Lineage: Eukaryota; Metazoa; Arthropoda; Insecta; Hemiptera; Lygaeidae. The record is from RNAcentral.
AAAAAAUAACGAUACGGGACUCAUCCGAGGCCCCGUAAUCGGAAUGAGAACACUCUAAAUCCUUUAACGAUGAUCUAUUGGAGGGCAAGCCUGGUGCCAGCAGCCGCGGUAAUUCCAGCUCCAAUAGCGUAUAUUAAAGUUGUUGCGGUUAAAAAGCUCGUAGUUGGUUCUGCGUGCCACGCUGUCGGUUCACCGCCUGCCGGUGCAACUGGCAUGCCGUGGCAUGUCCUGUCGGUGGCGGAUAGGCCUCCCGGCGUGCCCUAUGCGGUAUACCAGCGUGUAGGCUGCUGCGCCGGGGGUGUCCUUGUACGCCGACUCAAUCCUACCGCGGUGCUCUUUACCGAGUGUCGAGGUAGGCCGACACUGUUUACUUUGAACAAAUUAGAGUGCUUCAAGCAGGCUCUUAAAUCAGCCUGAAUAGUGGUGCAUGGAAUAAUGGAACAGGACCUUGGUUCUAUUUUGUUGGUUUCCGGAAUCCAAGGUAAUGAUCAAUAAGGACAGGCGGGGGCAUUCGUAUUGCGACGUUAGAGGUGAAAUUCUUGGAUCGUCGCAAGACGCACUAAAGCGAAAGCAUUUGCCAAGUAUGUCUUAAUUGAUCAAGAACGAAAGUUAGAGGUUCGAAGGCGAUCAGAUACCG